This 533-nucleotide ribosomal RNA is filed under the name Salmonella enterica. RNAcentral describes it as "bacterial SSU rRNA". It matches the Rfam family "Bacterial small subunit ribosomal RNA", at positions 197 to 711 of the family's 1533-position model. Lineage: Bacteria; Pseudomonadati; Pseudomonadota; Gammaproteobacteria; Enterobacterales; Enterobacteriaceae. The record is from RNAcentral.
AAGACCAAAGAGGGGGACCUUCGGGCCUCUUGCCAUCAGAUGUGCCCAGAUGGGAUUAGCUUGUUGGUGAGGUAACGGCUCACCAAGGCGACGAUCCCUAGCUGGUCUGAGAGGAUGACCAGCCACACUGGAACUGAGACACGGUCCAGACUCCUACGGGAGGCAGCAGUGGGGAAUAUUGCACAAUGGGCGCAAGCCUGAUGCAGCCAUGCCGCGUGUAUGAAGAAGGCCUUCGGGUUGUAAAGUACUUUCAGCGGGGAGGAAGGUGUUGUGGUUAAUAACCACAGCAAUUGACGUUACCCGCAGAAGAAGCACCGGCUAACUCCGUGCCAGCAGCCGCGGUAAUACGGAGGGUGCAAGCGUUAAUCGGAAUUACUGGGCGUAAAGCGCACGCAGGCGGUCUGUCAAGUCGGAUGUGAAAUCCCCGGGCUCAACCUGGGAACUGCAUUCGAAACUGGCAGGCUUGAGUCUUGUAGAGGGGGGUAGAAUUCCAGGUGUAGCGGUGAAAUGCGUAGAGAUCUGGAGGAAUACCG